UAAGAGCCCACCAGCAAGGGGGUGACUCCUUGGCUAGGUAAACCCCAGCUGAAGCAAGGUCGAGUAGAGAAGCGCAGCUCACGAAUGUGAGUUGGAGUGUUGCCCGCACUUGAAGCUUCUGGGUAGAACCGCCCGAGCCGUGUGGCAACAUACGGCCUAGACAAAUGAUCACACCGGAGUUUCCGGAACAGAAUCCCGCUUAUAUUUCUACUCUUCCU
This 218-nucleotide RNase P RNA is filed under the name Bdellovibrionales bacterium. Its description in RNAcentral is "partial RNase P RNA component class A". It matches the Rfam family "Bacterial RNase P class A", at positions 168 to 367 of the family's 367-position model. Rfam says of the family: Ribonuclease P (RNase P) is a ubiquitous endoribonuclease, found in archaea, bacteria and eukarya as well as chloroplasts and mitochondria. The record is from RNAcentral. Lineage: Bacteria; Pseudomonadati; Bdellovibrionota; Bdellovibrionia; Bdellovibrionales.